This is a long non-coding RNA of Gallus gallus (chicken), 1837 nucleotides long. NCBI's taxonomy places the organism in Eukaryota, Metazoa, Chordata, Aves, Galliformes, Phasianidae. The record is from Ensembl.
ACAACACCGCUGCGGCACCGUAGGGGACCACUCGGACCCAGGCCUCCGGCCCCUGUGGUACUGUUUGGCCGACGCCGCCUCUGCUUUCUUCUGACUCAAUCCUUUCUUGGCUCAGGCAGGCAGGGAAAGCGCAGGGAGGAAGAGUUCAGUGUCCUGUUGGCAGUUUUUGUCUUUAUUCUUAAUUUACAGAGAGGCCUGUGUACUAAGCCACUUAAGAAGAGGAGAAUAGCCUGUGUGCAUGUGACAGCUCAUACAGUGUGGGUGCAGCCCGGUACACCUGUACUUUCUGGAGCUGGGUCAUCUCGGCAGAGACCUGGGCUGCUCACAGGCUGGCCCAUACACUAAGUGCCCGAGUCCACUAAGUAUCUCCAAAUUCACUUCAGAGUCUCCGAGCACCUGAAUUCAGGCACUGACACACGGUUAGCAAUGCCAGAUUGCUGACAGGCACUCUUAGUGCUAAAGCCUAUCCUGUCUGUCAACACACAGUGACACCGACUCUGAAUUUCCAGGCAAGAUCAAUACAUGAGAUAGAAGGAUGACUGCAAUAAACAAGCUGUAUUUUGGAGGGAGGAGGAAGAGGGAAAACUUUAAUUUACAAUGUGCUUUUUGUGUUUUUGCCAUCAGUAGAACCUGGGCCUGUGAUCCUGUGCUUUCCAAAACCUGAAUUGUAAUUCUGGUCUCUGUCCUACCUCAUCCCAAAAUGUAAAGGUGGACAUGAGACAGGAACCAACAAAGAGUUAAGAGAACAGUUCUGGUGAAGAUAACACUAAUCCCUUUCCCUACUCCAAAUGACCUAUAAGAUGCAGCGGGAAACUGGGCUUCUCAGCCUAUAGUUUCCCAGGUUCUAACCCCAUUCCUAGCUUAAACCUAUUCUAACUAGAAAUCAGGUCUGGUCCUUGAGAUGUGAAUGACAGAAGAUGAAGCAGUAUUCCAAUCUAUUUGUCCUUUCCAUUUUUCUCAGAGUUCUCAGUGAUUCACUGAGAAUUUAGAUUUCUCGAAAAUGUUCAUGUCCAAACUCCAAACUUAUCUUCAGCUCUCACCCUAAACUUCAGUCUAAACGCUGUGUAUUUCAGAGAUGCAAAAUUGAUCAUUAAAUGGUUAAAAGAAAACAGGACUGGAUCCCUUGAAAUUUCUACUCUACCUUAGACUGUCCUGUGUAGCCCCAGGUAAAUGCAGUAUUGCUGUUGCUGAUAACAAGCCACAGGCUUUGUAUUAAGUUAACACAGUCCUGAGAGCUUGUCAGGUUUUAUGUGGACUAGUCUCAGCCAGCUUGUAGCUUUGUUUCAGCUUGUUUACCUCUAACAGCUAUUGUCUUAUGACCAGGUGUCUAUUCCUCUAUUUGUUUUCAUUUUUCUUAUCUUCAUAUAAUUGAUGUAAUGCCUAUAGCUAAAAGUUCUUGUAUAAAUAGGAAUAGCAAUUAAUUAUGCUGUGUAGAAUGACCCCUGAACCUCUAGAUUAAUGACUGAGCAUUAUGAAGGUAUAGUGUGACAGAGGCCCCAGGGCUCUCAAUUAGUCAUAAGAAAAGAUACUGCAAACCUAGGAGCUGGGCAACAGCUGUUUUAGGGAUAGCAAAAAAAAGUCAAGUGUCUCAUGUAUAAAUCCUGCCACAUAUAGUAAAGUUAGAUGUAAUAUAAGAGUUGAAAACCACAGAAGAAAAGUCAGGGUGAGUACAAAAUAACAAACAUAAAAAUGCACCCAAGUGUUCCCUAGAGUGAGGAGGGAACACUUAACAUCAAUAUCGUGUUUUUCCUAGCAAAGAGGAAAAAUGCCCUACAUGAAAAUCGUACUCCUCCCAACAAGUAUCUUAGGAUGGCAGCUUUCUGUCAUACUUCUUACC